This 220-nucleotide unclassified non-coding RNA is filed under the name plant metagenome. RNAcentral describes it as "partial contains small subunit ribosomal RNA, internal transcribed spacer 1, and 5.8S ribosomal RNA". The record is from RNAcentral.
UUUCCGUAGGUGAACCUGCGGAAGUAUCAUUACAGAGUUCAUGCCCUCACGGGUAGAUCUCCCACCCUUGAAUAUUUAUACCUUAGUUGCUUUGGCAGGCCGUGGAAACACCAUGGGCUCCGGCUUAUGCGUGCCUGCCAGAGGAAACAAACUCUGUUUUUAGUGAUGUCUGAGUACUAUAUAAUAGUUAAAACUUUCAACAACGGAUCUCUUGGUUCUG